RNAcentral lists this ribosomal RNA (405 nucleotides) under uncultured bacterium. RNAcentral describes it as "partial 16S ribosomal RNA". It matches the Rfam family "Bacterial small subunit ribosomal RNA", at positions 28 to 526 of the family's 1533-position model. The record is from RNAcentral.
GAUGAACGCUGGCGGCGUGACUAAUUCCUGCAAGUCGAGCGACGCGGGGACGGGUGCGAAACACGUGGCUAACCUCUUAUAAGAGUGGGAUAACCUCGGGAAACCGGAGCUAAACCGGAUGCUUAUAGAUGGAUCCGCGCUGCAUUGGCUAGCUGGUAAUGUAACGGCUUACAAAGGCAACGAUGCAUAGCCGACCUGAGAGGGGUAUCGCCCACAGCGGAUCUGAGCCACGGUCCAGACUCCGACGGGAGGCAGCAGUAGGGAAUCUUCCGCAAUGGGCGAAAGCCUGACGGAGCAACGCCGCGUGAGUGAUGAAGGUCUUCGGAUCGUAAAACUCUGUUAUUAGAGAAGCGGCACCUAAUCAGAAAGCCCCAGCUAACUACGUGCCAGCAGCCGCGGUAAUUC